GGGGGCGUAAUGGUUUCGACGGGAUUGUUGAGACUUGAUAAGCGGGUAGAGGAUUCUCGUUGGCCUCUUAAAAAACGAGAACUUAAAUUUAAACGCUAAAAACGAUAAUUUCGCUUUAGCUGCUGCCUAAGGGCAGCCCGUCAGUCCCGGGUUAACUGCACCCGGGGUAGCUGGCGUCAUCAAGUCAGUCCUUUUGCAUAGGAAGGUCAAAUGCUAGCACUAAUUCAGCCGUAGCCUUGAGCUGAAUCGGACUUUAAAGGCUACCGAAAACGAAACCUUGCCUGUGGGGGUUUGUCGUAGGGAAACGCAAGGUUAUUGUCCUGCAAAGGAUACGUGACCGGGCACAAAGCAUAGGCUACACCCGUAGAAGUUCUUGAGGAUAUGGUUUCGGACAGGGGUUCGACUCCCCUCGCCUCCACCA
Molecule: transfer-messenger RNA, 421 nt
Filed under: Ruminiclostridium sufflavum
Lineage: Bacteria; Bacillati; Bacillota; Clostridia; Eubacteriales; Oscillospiraceae
Also listed under: 1 other name
Description: Standard tmRNA
Rfam family: transfer-messenger RNA
About the family: Bacterial tmRNA, also known as 10Sa RNA or SsrA, is named for its dual tRNA and mRNA-like properties. Its role is to liberate the mRNA from a stalled ribosome.
Source: RNAcentral